Molecule: long non-coding RNA, 1444 nt
Filed under: Salmo salar (Atlantic salmon)
Lineage: Eukaryota; Metazoa; Chordata; Actinopteri; Salmoniformes; Salmonidae
Description: lncRNA (ENSSSAG00000093062.1, ENSSSAG00000105447.1)
Rfam family: mir-133 microRNA precursor family (bases 1099-1172)
Source: RNAcentral
GAGGAGAGGAGAGGAGAGGAGAGGAGAGGAGAGGAGAGGAGAGGAGAGGAGACGGGGUGUUCUCUAGGAGAGGAGAGGGGUGUUCUGGAGGACAGGAGAGGAGAAGAGAGGAGAGGAGCCGGGUUGUUCUCUAGGAGAGGAGAGGGGUGUUCUGGAGGACAGGAGAGGAGAGGACAGGAGAGGAGAGGAGAGGAGAGGAGAGGAGAGGAGAGGAGAGGAGAGGAGAGGAGAGGAGAGGAGAGGAGAGGGUUGUUCUCUAGGAGAGGAGAGGGGUGUUCUGGAGGAAAACCAGUGUGUAAUCUGGGGGGCCUGAAGGCAUGCUUCUGUUACCUGAGGCUGAGGUGUCGCAAGGUUUGUGUCUUUGAUCUACAGUGGAGUGGCAGGAAAGUGAGGACCAUGUCAGUUGCUGUUGGUUUGUCAUUGUCCUUUUAGAUUUUUGAAAGUUCUUAGAAUUCAUUCUAGGUUCUAAGAAUUUGUUGCAGAGAAGGGAAGAGGUAGGAUUUAAGGUAGAAUUUUAAGCAUAGUGUUUUCAGUGGAGCCUGGUCUGCAUAGACUCAGUCUAGAAAAGUGGAGUGACUGCCUGCAUGGCCUUCUUCCUAAGACCAGCCUGUGUGUGCCGGUACUUUGACACACAAACACAAACACUACGAGUGGAGACGAGGAGGAUUCUGGGAUGUGGACGAGACAGUGAAUCACAGAAAAGGCAGGUACCCACAGGACAGUUCCAGCCCAGCCCUGCGGACCGUCAGUGGGGAUUGACAGACCACAGCUGUCCUCAGUUACAGCAACAGAAGAACGGGGUUAUGGGAAAAAGGAGGGAGAGAAAGAGGUGGAGCUGUCAUUGGGAGUGGGGGUAAGGGAAAAGAGGACGUUUCUGAACUCAGACAUCAUCACAACUCCCAACAGCCGCUUUCUCUACCAUCUCUUCGUUUUAUUGUCUUUCGUCCUCCUUCUCUACCAUCUCUUUCUCCCUACUUUUCCCUCUCUCCUCCUCCUCCUCCUCCUCCCCACUCUCACCCAUCUCUUCUAUUUCCCCCCUCUCUUUCCCUCCUUCCCUCUCUUUCUCUCGUUCUCCCUGUCGUCCUAAAGCAGCACGCCUUGCUGUGGCUGGUCAAACGGAACCAAGUCAGGUGUUUCAGUGAGGUUUGGUCCCCUUCAACCAGCUACUGCGUCGUGAACUCAGUCAGCAGACAGACAGACAGACAGACAGACACCCGCAGCGGGAACGAAAGACAGAGUAGCCCUACUGCUGCAUGUUUUUGUGUCUACAUAAAUCAGGCGUUAAUGUGUUCUGUGUCUACAUAAAUCAGGUGUUAAUGUGUUCUGUGUCUACAUAAAUCAGGUGUUAAUGAACAACAUUUUGUACACUAUGGAUUCCUCUUCCUUUUCAUACUGUAUGUUUCGGUCUUGUUUAUUAUUGUGCUUGAAAAAUAAAGAAUUAAAG